RNAcentral lists this long non-coding RNA (1346 nucleotides) under Ananas comosus (pineapple). RNAcentral's name for it is "long non-coding RNA (ACOM_LNC032647)". The record is from RNAcentral. Lineage: Eukaryota; Viridiplantae; Streptophyta; Magnoliopsida; Poales; Bromeliaceae.
AGGAGACUAGAGGACACCCUCGUUGGAGCGCACGAGGAGUUUCGUUGUCAUCGGUGGGUUUGGCUUCGUGGAAAUGGGGCGAAAUGGCCCCUAUGCUCUUUCUACUUGUUGUAAAUUAUUUUUAAGUUCAUUUUUAUGCUAAAUGGGAUUUAUAUGAAUUUUAGAGCACUUAAAAUGCAUGCCUUGUGUAUUAUGAAAAUUUCCCUAUAUAGUAGAGCUAUAUGAGUAGAAUGCUUGCAUACGGAAAAAGUGUCUAUUUUGCAAGUGAAAAAUACAUCUCUUAUGAGGAUUAUGACUUGGAAUAUGUACCUUGGAACAUAGUUGCCAUGUUUUGACAUAGAGAUCAAGAGUGUCAUAAAGGGGCACUUGAAACUAGUAAACUAUGAAACUGCAAUAUAGAGACAUAUUGAUAGGCCACUACAUAUCUGCUAUAUUCCAUGUUAGAGACAUGAUGACAUAGGGAUAGGCCAUUGAGAUACUUGGCACAUUCCAUGUUAUUAUGACAUGAGGACUUGGUACUUGCGACAGAUCGUUUGAUUUCUUGCCAUUGUGCUCAUUCGCACAUGCUUGUGAGGGUCGCUCCCUACAAGCCGGCACUCCGGAGAUGGCCAUCGCGAUUCAUAUUCGCUGUGCGGGAUUGGGCGCCGAAGUGGAUUGCCGUGGGCUAGGCUCAUUCCUAGGGUGGGGAUGAUGACUACCACGAGGCCAUUAGGCUCGGCACCGGCCAGACAGCCUACGGGUGGGUCUCAGGGCCAUAGACAGCCUUCGGGUGGGUCUCUUCAGAUUGGACUUUAUAUAUCCAUUAUGACAUGUGGACAGAUGAUGACUUAGUGUACUACUUGGACAUUGAUUAGAAUAGUAAACAACGGAACUUUACUAUUUCACAUUGUGAACAUCAUGAUAGUUGGAGACACUUACUUUAUGCAUAGUUGCUUUCAUACUUAUGCUAUUCAUGCUAAGUAGAGAUAUCAUGUCGUAGUAGGUUACAUAUUUACUUACCUGUCGCCUUUCUACUUUUAUAGUCACUGACAUCUUUUGUAGCUUUGGGCCUUGUGGUGCAUUCACUGAAGUCAGUAAUUGCCCACUGGGAACUAUUUUUAAUAGUUCUCAUGCCCUCGUUUUGUGGUUUACUUUUCAGAGCCUUCGGCACCGGCGGAGGCACGAGAUCGCGGCAAGGGUGUCGCGUAGCUAGCUCGGGAGAGUUUCUUUUGCGCUAGGUGGUUACUUCUUCUCCAUUUUAUAUUUUGGGAGAGAGGGAGAGGUUUUGUACCCUGUAUAGAGAGACCACCGUGUACUCUUUUUAGCACUUGUUAUGGGAUCCCUCUUGUACUUACUUUAUGUUUUAU